GAUGAACGCUGGCGGCGUGCCUAAUACAUGCAAGUAGAACGCUGAAGCUUGGUGCUUGCACCGAGCGGAGGAGUUGCGAACGGGUGAGUAACGCGUAGGUAACCUGCCUCUUAGCGGGGGAUAACUAUUGGAAACGAUAGCUAAUACCGCAUAAAAGUCGAUAUCGCAUGAUAUUGAUUUGAAAGGUGCAACUGCAUCACUAAGAGAUGGACCUGCGUUGUAUUAGCUAGUUGGUGAGGUAACGGCUCACCAAGGCGACGAUACAUAGCCGACCUGAGAGGGUGAUCGGCCACACUGGGACUGAGACACGGCCCAGACUCCUACGGGAGGCAGCAGUAGGGAAUCUUCGGCAAUGGACGGAAGUCUGACCGAGCAACGCCGCGUGAGUGAAGAAGGUUUUCGGAUCGUAAAGCUCUGUUGUAAGAGAAGAACGAGUGUGAGAGUGGAAAGUUCACACUGUGACGGUAACUUACCAGAAAGGGACGGCUAACUACGUGCCAGCAGCCGCGGUAAUACGUAGGUCCCGAGCGUUAUCCGGAUUUAUUGGGCGUAAAGCGAGCGCAGGCGGUUAGAUAAGUCUGAAGUUAAAGGCUGUGGCUUAACCAUAGUACGCUUUGGAAACUGUUUAACUUGAGUGCAGAAGGGGAGAGUGGAAUUCCAUGUGUAGCGGUGAAAUGCGUAGAUAUAUGGAGGAACACCGGUGGCGAAAGCGGCUCUCUGGUCUGUAACUGACGCUGAGGCUCGAAAGCGUGGGGAGCAAACAGG
This 765-nucleotide ribosomal RNA is filed under the name uncultured Streptococcus sp. Its description in RNAcentral is "bacterial SSU rRNA". It matches the Rfam family "Bacterial small subunit ribosomal RNA", at positions 28 to 776 of the family's 1533-position model. Lineage: Bacteria; Bacillati; Bacillota; Bacilli; Lactobacillales; Streptococcaceae. The record is from RNAcentral.